GUCUCUGUGGCGGCUUAAUCGGUUAGCCGUUAGGCUGUUAACCAAAGGAUGGUGGUUCGAGCCCACCCAGGGACG
Non-coding RNA from Gymnothorax javanicus (giant moray), 75 nucleotides. The record is from the annotation of a GenBank genome assembly. NCBI's taxonomy places the organism in Eukaryota, Metazoa, Chordata, Actinopteri, Anguilliformes, Muraenidae.